GGUAGGAUGUUCAGAUAUAUGACCAAAGUAAUUAAUCUCAGAAAGCAUUUUACACUGAGGAAUAAAAUGCUGUAUGUUGGAGGAAUUAAGCAGAUGUUAUAAUAUCUCCAUGCUAUCAUGCAGAACAAAACCUAGCAGCUGUGUAUGCCAUGAAAAUGAACUUAAUUAAGGAGACCACUAGCGGUGCCUCUGUCAGUAUCAAAAUACUAACACAAUUCAGGCAUAUUUCAUAAGAGAAUGCUUCCCAGCGUCUUCUACUCAGAAUUGCACUCCUGGCUCAAAAGCAGUCAGGUAGGAUGCCAGAGCAGCCACAUGUACUUUUCUGAAGCAGACUUUUAGGCUAACCCUAGCAGGCAGCUAAGCACCACAAAGCAGCUUUCUCUUUCCACUCAGAGGGAUGGGAAAGAGAAUCAGAAGAGCAGAAGUGAAAAAAUCUGUGAGCUGAGGUAAAUGCAGUUCAAAAUGCAGAUAGAGCAAAAGUCAUGCACACAAGCAAAGCAAUACAAGAAAUUCGUUUGCUAUUUUCCAUUGGCAGGCAGACAUUCAACCACAUCCAGGAAAGCAGGGCUCAUCAUGCAUAACAAUUUUUGGAGAAGACAAACAUCAUCACUCUGAACAUCACCCCUCCUUCUUACCCCCAGCUUUAAUUGCUGAGCACAAUACCAUAUGGCAUGGGGCAUUGCUUUGGCCAGUCUGAGUCAGCUGUCUCAUUUCUGACCCCUCCCAGCUCCUUGUGCCCCCCAGCUCCUUGCUGGCAGGGCAACGUGAGGAACAGGAAAGUUCCUGGCUCUAGGUAAGCACUGCUCUGCAAUAAUUAAACCAUUGGUGUGUCAUCAGCUUUGUUUGGGUCACAAAUCCAAAAUGGCACUAUACUAGGUACCAUGAAAAAAAUUAACACUAUCACAGAUAAAACCUGUUUGUACACUAAGGAAGAUGACAUUGACAAAACUUUAAGCUAAAUACAAGGUGUCUCUUUUCAAUCUUCUGCAAAUGUUGGUUAAAGAAUGCAAAGCUAUGCAGUCAAUAGAAGAGAUCAAAAGCCUGGGCAGAAUUAUUGGUUUUAUUGGAAAUUCGUUAUCAAGCCAUUGAAGAGGAAACUCCUGACACUUGGCUUCUCACUUCUCCCAUUCAUGGUGAUAGAGUAGAAGCUCGCAUCUGGAAGAGCCAUUUGUUAUGUUUUGGCAAUCCUGUAGAAAACUGGAAAAAGUUGAUCACGUUUCAAAACCAUGAAAACCGUUAUGUUUUCCUGCCUCUGUUCUGGGAUGUAUUUCAAACAUUAUUUCAGUGAUAGACUGAAGGAUACAUGCUCCUGUUGUUACAAACACCACUUGAUUUGCAGAAUAACGAUACAUCUCAAAUGUCAUUUUUCAUGUUAUUUUCAAUGCAGCACUGAGCAAGGACUUCACAUCUUGUGGAUCAACUGCUGCUAAGUAGUGAAAGAAACAUCAACAGCCAUUAACCAAUGAGAGAAAAAAGAGUGAGGGUCUGAUAUGAAAGCCCUCUGUGGAAAAUGCUAUAGAAAGAAGGGGAGAGGAGACAAAUGAGAUAAGUUUCCUGAGGUUCUGUGAAAGCUGGAGCAGAAAAAGUGUCAUGUCUGUAAAUGAUGUUUGUACCCUCCUGAGACCCUCUUUGUGCUGAUGUGACCGCCCAGUAAACUAUGAGGGAACAGAGUCAGCUAAGAAAUGACCUACCAAAAAACGUGCAGUAGCAGUGCAUAGCAGUGGUGGCUGUGAAUACUCUUGUGUGAUGAAGGCUGGAUGAUAACAAAGCUACAGUAGUGACACCAAAAGAAAUAUGCACCAAACUAUGAGAGGCUCCAUAUCCCUUAAAGAUGUUGACAAAACUGGCUUUGUUGAACAAGACCUUCAGUAUGAAUGUAUUAUUUUGAAGCAUGGCUCUUUAUUUCCUACUUUUCUUUUUUUUUCCUAUGGCCAGAUCAGUUCUCCCAUACAGGUCAUAACGUGGCUACACAGGUAGCUACUGGCUCAUGGGCAAAGGCAGCAGGAAAUAGAAAUGGAACUUAGCAUAUGGUCAGUGGCAACCAGGGUGGAGCAUAGCAGAUGCAGACAACAACAUGUUUUCUAUGUAUUUGCACUGAUGUAUGUGGAAGGAACAGCCUUGUUUCCCAUGAAAACAAGAUGUUAACUGUAGAGUUAACAUCAUUCACUGUUUGUGUCCGAAAAAUAUUAAAGAAAUCGGCGUGAGCAGCAGUAGUCACAUAGAGCAGCUCUUUCUGUGUGUUGCUUUCCAGUAACAUUCUACGUAGCUGUGGUUGUCAAACCCUGGCAGAAGUACAGGGAUAUAGAGAUGAAACCUUUAGUGUGCCUGUGAAGAAAACAAUACAUAUUUCUUUGGUCAGCUUUAGAAAAAAAAAGACGAAAAAGAUGUUCAGAAAAAAGUGUUUCUGUGGCAAUUAGGAAGACACAGUUGUUUGCAGUGUGAUCUCAGGAACCAGUCCUGUUUGAAGGACACUUGUUCUUACUGUGGCUCCAAUUCAGGAAGGAUGUUUUGUCAUUCUGUGAACCCACUAUACAGCUGGGAUUGAAUGGAAAGGAAGGGCAAUUUAUUUCUCCACAAAUUCCUUUGGAAUUGCUUUAGGCAUGACAUUAGAGCCAAAUUAACUUUCAAGAAGCAGCUACUGAUGAAAUAGCCUUCUCUGCCUGCAGUUCCCUACAGUUUUCCCUCCUGGGUCUUGCAAGACAGUUUGGAUGACCACAGCUGUUCCACAGUGCAGAUCUUCUCAAAAAUUGGUGCUGGGUGACAGACUACAAAGGCUGGAGUUGAUUUUGUACUUGAAGUAUGACAUGCGUGUACUCUGAAAAUUAGGUAAUUUAAAGCAGCCUUGGCUAGAUGAUUCAGUGGCAAAGGUAGCUGGAUCCUGUAGUUAGUACAGAAGAUGAAGGCAAUAAAUACUGCCAUGGCUUGGGAUGCAGCAUGGUGAAACAGAUAGGAAUUUCUGAGUCGUAAUUUUUGCCUGCAGUUUGUUGCAUGGAUGUUCAGCAUGUGGUGAAUCUGCCACAGCUUUUCAUUUUCCAUUAUUUCCAAGGAAAUUACACGUGAGGGGAUCUUAUCAAUGCUUAAUGGUUGAGGGUCUUUAAGGAUGGGGCCAAGCUCUUUGUUAGCGGUGCCCAAUGAUGGAGGACAACGGGCACCACACAGGAAGGUUCCAUCUGAGCUCCAGAAAAUAAAUUAUUUACUUCGAGGGUGACAGAGUGCUGGAACAAGCUGAUCAGAGAGACUAUGAAGCCUCCUUCUCUGAAGAUAUUCAAAACCCAUCUGGACACUUGCCUGUGUGACCUGCUGUAGGGAAUCUGCUUUAGCAGGAGUCGGGCUGGGUGAUCUCCAGAGGUCCCUUCCAGCCCCUGUGGUUCUAUGAUUCUUUGAUUACCUCUUUCCUCCAGCUGGAAGAGACAUUUAUAAGAGCUCUAUCCUGUGCUGACUCUCUGCUCUUUGAUAAAAGGUGAGCACACAACGUAGUCUUCUGUUACUUAAUUAAAUGCAAUCAGGAGAGAGAAACAAAUCUUCAGAGAAUCAGUAUUUAGUAAUUUUGCUGCCCUCAGAGCUAUUUGUUUGCUUUCUGCCUUAUUCAUUAAAACAGGAAGUAGUCUCACAAGCAAAUUAAUUCUAUGGAAUUACUCUUAAGACAGAAAAAUAAAGGGUACUGGAGCACUGAAGUGCUAGCACUGGGACAGAGUGAUCGCAGAACACAUUGUUUUGUGUAUAAAAGGCCCAAAAUGUGUCAGAGUCAAUUGUUCAUUAGACCAUUAGUGUUAGUAGCAGUUUGCCCACAGAUUGCUCUCCCUUCUUCACAGGCAAUUUCCUCGGCAUGGUACUGUAGCUGUUGUUAUUGUAGUUAUGACUCCAGCUCAGACACUAAUAAAUCACAAUGUACAACUUUCCAUAUAUGCUGCCAAAAGACAGUGUCAGACAGAGCUGGGAAAUCCAGAUCUCGGAAAACUGAAAUUCACCUUCCAGAUCCAGUGGAGCAGAAGGAGAUAGGAUUCAGCAGCUGAUUUAAAAUACAGUUCACUGCAGUCACUUCUGACUUUCUAGACAAGCAUGUGACAUCUUAACAGCAAAGUAAGAAUUAAUCAGGAAACAAAUUUAACCACAGUCAUCUUGACAAUUUCUUACAGCUCACAAGAGCUCUCUGAAGGGAUCCUUGGCUGUCCCUGCACUGGGGCUGAGGACAGACCCAGCCAUUGUGGUGGAAGAUGCUAGCCCCAGCUGCCUGCCUCCAGCAUCUAGCCAGAGGUUACACCCCACAAACACGCAGAAUACAGAAUAAAAGUAAAUAACACAGUGGGGAUUUUCCACCAUCUGCUAUAGAUAGCAUCACCAGUGUAGUACAAUAACUAAAGUUAGAAGAAAAAAUGUCCAUGUCAUCAGGGGAGUGCUGGAAAUGAUUACUGAGAGACAACACUGGAAUCCAAGUUUGGAGAAUAAACACCUUUUCAAAUCCAUUCACUCAUAAGUCUGUCACUCAAAGACGCUUCAGAUUAUGGAAAACAAGGAGUAGGGGAAACUCAAAAUAUGUGCAGCAAGGCAGACUUUGGCAUUUUCCGUUCAGUUACUGAGUGUUUAACUUGCCAUAGCCCACAGAGGCUUGAACUUCAGUCAAGCUCCUCC
Molecule: long non-coding RNA, 4629 nt
Filed under: Gallus gallus (chicken)
Lineage: Eukaryota; Metazoa; Chordata; Aves; Galliformes; Phasianidae
Description: lncRNA (ENSGALG00010002237.1)
Source: RNAcentral